Molecule: long non-coding RNA, 3272 nt
Filed under: Equus caballus (horse)
Lineage: Eukaryota; Metazoa; Chordata; Mammalia; Perissodactyla; Equidae
Description: lncRNA (ENSECAG00000041455.2)
Source: RNAcentral
GUCUCCCAGAAGCUGGAAGGAUUUCUACACCCACACAGGCACAACCAGACUGACCACAAGUCAACUAAAUGGGUACGGCGUCUACCAAGGAAAUGACCACAGAGGAGCUGUGUUGAUGGAAGGGAUUGCCGAGCUGGGGAAAAUCAACACAGCUUGAACAGCCAAUCAGUUCUCUCGUGACGGGGGGUUUACUGUGGUGGAAAGGACACCUGACACGGAGCCGACACUGCUGGCUUUCCACUAUGGGGAACGAGUGGUCAUGCCACUCUUUCAACUCUGAGACUAUUCUGAAACUCUUCUUCCUCACCUGCAAAAUGGCCAUCAGCCCACCCAUGCGGAGGUGGGGAGGCCUCCGUGAGGACAAGGAUGGGAAAGUACCGAGCGCACCAUCUGCUCAGAGUAGGUGCUCAAGAAACACUGGUUAUAUAUACUGGCUGAAUCCAAAUGUGACCCCUGAGGCUUGUUAGCUAACGAGGGAGCAUGUGUUGAAGUGGCUGUUAAUGUGUAGAGACAACAAGCAGUCAAAACUAUUUUUCAAUUUUGUUGACCGGCCACAUUUGCAGCAGGGCCUCCGAAAACCAAACUUUGCACUCGUCUUAUCAGCCCGUUGGUCGGGCCACUUGCGUAUGUUGUUGGCUUGCAUCCACUUUCUCUGAAAUGCCACAAAGGAACCAGAUUGCGGAAGCCACUUGGGGAUUUUCCACUUCUCAAUGGGCUGCUCUGGAGCCCUUCAGACCCUUGAGAUCCGGAAGAAGGAAACUGCCACUGAGAAGGGGACUCAAGGGGCCACAAGUUGAGUGGGGGGCCCUCAGGACCCGGAGCAGGACGACCUGAGACAGCAGCCUCUCUCUUCUGCCAAGUGGCUGUUUGGCCUUGAAAAGUCACUCUCUUCUCUCUCUGGGUUCCCCGAAAGGGGAGAGGGGAUGGGCUAGAAAUCGAAUACCCUCCUCGAUGACUAAUCAGAAGAAGAAAUAUCUCUGAGCUCAGAGGAGCCUACUAUGGUCUUCAACCUGUUGCGUUUACCAUCCUAUCUAAUCUUUGUGACCAUCCUGCAGAUUUCGGGGAGCCUCUCCAUCUUACAGAUGAAGAAACAGGAGGGGAGAUUAAGUAGCGAGCCCACGUCACAGCAAAUGAAAUGGCAGAGACGACUUGGGUGCUAGUCAGACAGGAUUCAACAUCCCAACAGAUGAACACCCACUCCUCGGUUCUUCCACUAGGAUGGUCUCUGAGGGUCAACUCUGAUGUUUCUCCACAAAGCUUGAAUCACGGACCCUGCAACACGGAAUGCAAUUUAUUCCGCCUUCCAGAGACGAAAAGCAUCAAAGCAAGCUUCCGGGAAUUUAAUUUCAGCGUUUGCAUCCAAGUCACCAGGGGCUCAGGAGGCCAGGCGGGACACACUGCCCCGCGCUCGCUCUCGCCUUCUCUCUCUGUCAGAGGCACCCACAGCAUCACAGCAAUAGAGGGACCAAUCCAGCCUCCCACUGAGCGGAGAGGGAAAUUGAGGCCCAGGGAGAAAGAUGGCGAAGCUUGGACAAGGACGCAGGUCUUUCGACCGUCAGAUGCGUGCCUUCUCACGUCAGCCCACAGGUUCCUCUUGCCGAGAUCCUCUCCAAGCUAACACCCGAUCGUGGAAACAGACCAUACUCAACCCAGCAAGUCUUCUAAAAGUCCUUGUGCUGUGGUCUGGGGACUGAGCUCUCUGGCUCUGGAUUGGACCAGAUCUUUGCACAGAUUCCAGCUCUAUCACUGCCCAGCUGGGUGACCUUAGAGAAGCCACUCACCUUCUGCACCUGCCUUCUCAUCUGUAAACUCGGCAUGGUAAGGAAACGAAGACUCCAGGAGCCUAUUUUCCAAAGGCCGCAUUACCAACAAAGGACAGACCGAGAUUUGGACUCUCAUGUCCUGAUCCCCGCCUCAGGCUCUUUCUGCCAGAACCACAGACAAAUCCACAAAGUGACCCUCCGUGAAUCUUAGAGGUCAUUUAAAGGUAGCGGUGUCUGCCUCGCUACUCAAAGUGUGGUCCGUGGACCAGCAGCAUCUGUACUCCCUCAGGGCCUGGUAGCUGUGCAGAAUCUCAGGCCCCAGGCUGGACCCGAGGAAUCAGAAUCUGCAUUUUAAUGAGGCCCCUGGGUGAUCUGUAUGCACACAACAGUUUGGGAAACAUUUGCCUAUGGGGUAUCAUUUCAGACUUUCAAGAAUUUUUACCAUUAGAAAUGAAGAUAACAACAACAGUCAGCAUCGUUAAACUCAGCAUCCUGAUCCAACCACAGACCGGUCCAAACUUUUCAAAAUAUCAUCUGAGCAGAAAAGCUUAUAAACUGCUUUGCUUAUCAGCCAACAGCUGACCUCAGAACCUUUGGCAAGACAAAAUGUUCUGCCCUCCCAAUGAGAUCAGUAUCGCAUUUCUGGUGGUGUAUUUAUCUAGUUUUCAUUGCUGACAUGUAUUACGUAACACCACCCCUCUUUCUUCUGCCAUCACUGGCUUAUUUGAACAUCUGACUUACCUUGACCCUAGAGCACAGUGCAGCUUAUGCAACAAUCUGAACGUUUCUCCUCAGAAGUCCCCUGUGUCCCCAUGGUGGCCUCGGCUCCUGUCCUCAUGCCGCAGACAAGAUAGCUGUGUCCCACCUCUGAUUCUCUAGGCGACUUUAGGAUCCAGCCCUGGCUGCGUGCUUACUGCCUCCCAUUCUUCGAGGAUUUUCUGGGCUUGACUAAGAGUCUUUCAGAUCUUCUUUCCCAACUGUGCUGGGCUUCGAGACUGCUCAGAGAACAGAGGCACCUGGCUCAGAACGUGUGUAGAUAAUACCAAGCAGAAUCUUCCUCCUCUCUCCGUGAUGGGGAAUGAGGGGGCCAGCAGGCAGAUCAGGACCAAGGAUGGGACCCGAGGGGUCGGCUGGGGAAGGAAGAGGUCCAGAGAGAACAGUGCUGAAAACCCAGGGUUCUAGGGUCCAACAGAACUGAGACUUGAUCCAGCUCGGCUUCUUAUUUGCUGGGUGACAUUGGGUAGAUUACUCACCUACUUUGAGCCUCUUGGUCUCAUCUAUAACAGGGAGAGGAUGAUGCCGACCUCUGGGACUAAGUUGGCUAACAUUAGUAAAAUUCUGGAUGCUAGGCUUGUCAUAUACAGACAUUCAAUAAGAGGGAGCUUGUUUUUUGAUUGUAGAGUAAGUCAUUGAGGGAGACAGCCCACAAAUGUCAUGAAACUUCCAAUUCUUAAAACACACACACAUGCUAACAUGUUUUCCUGCAUAAAAUUCAAUAAAGAAUAACUG